AGUGAACGCUGGCGGUAGGCCUAACACAUGCAAGUCGAACGGCAGCACAGUAAGAGCUUGCUCUUUCGGGUGGCGAGUGGCGGAUGGGUGAGGAGUACCUCCGAAUUUACUUUUUCGUGGGGGAUGACGCAGGGAAACUUACCGUAUUACCGCAUACGACCUACGGGUGAAAGCAGGGGAUCUUCGGACCUUGCGUGAUUGUAUGAGCCGAUGUCGGAUUAGCUAGUUGGCGGGGUAAAGGCCCACCAAGGCGACGAUCCGUAGCUGGUCUGAGAGGAUGAUCAGCCACACUGGAACUGAGACACGGUCCAGACUCCUACGGGAGGCAGCAGUGGGGAAUAUUGGACAAUGGGCGCAAGCCUGAUCCAGCCAUACCGCGUGGGUGAAGAAGGCCUUCGGGUUGUAAAGCCCUUUUGUUGGGAAAGAAAAGCAGCAGGUUAAUACCCCGCUGUUCUGACGGUACCCAAAGAAUAAGCACCGGCUAACUUCGUG
This 492-nucleotide ribosomal RNA is filed under the name uncultured bacterium. RNAcentral describes it as "partial 16S ribosomal RNA". It matches the Rfam family "Bacterial small subunit ribosomal RNA", at positions 29 to 507 of the family's 1533-position model. The record is from RNAcentral.